GACGAACGCUGGCGGCGUGCUUAACACAUGCAAGUCGAACGGUGAAGCUCCAGCUUGCUGGAGUGGAUCAGUGGCGGACGGGUGAGUAACACGUGAGCAACCUGCCCCUGACUCUGGAAUAAGCGCUGGAAACGGCGUCUAAUACUGGAUACGAGAAGGGUCCGCAUGGGCACUUUCUGGAAAGUUUUUCGGUUGGGGAUGGGCUCGCGGCCUAUCAGCUUGUUGGUGAGGUAAUGGCUCACCAAGGCGACGACGGGUAGCCGGCCUGAGAGGGCGACCGGCCACACUGGGACUGAGACACGGCCCAGACUCCUACGGGAGGCAGCAGUGGGGAAUAUUGCACAAUGGGCGAAAGCCUGAUGCAGCGACGCCGCGUGAGGGAUGACGGCCUUCGGGUUGUAAACCUCUUUCAGCAGGGAAGAAGCGAAAGUGACGGUACCUGCAGAAGAAGCACCGGCUAACUACGUG
Molecule: ribosomal RNA, 468 nt
Filed under: uncultured bacterium
Lineage: Bacteria
Description: partial 16S ribosomal RNA
Rfam family: Bacterial small subunit ribosomal RNA
Source: RNAcentral